RNAcentral lists this long non-coding RNA (1816 nucleotides) under Homo sapiens (human). RNAcentral's name for it is "HSALNT0339059". Lineage: Eukaryota; Metazoa; Chordata; Mammalia; Primates; Hominidae. The record is from RNAcentral.
AGUCCGAAUUCUGCCCGCCUUGCGCCCUGGUCUCGGUGGGGUGUGGGGCGCUGGCGCCGCGUCCCUGGUCUUUCAGGCAGGUCCGGGCAGCUCCUGGCUGGGUUGGCCCGACCUAGACUUGGCGCUGUAUCGCGGCUGGGCCUGUCGCAGCGAGGGGACGGCGAACGUGGCUUUCCCGGGCACAGCCUCUCCGGGUUUUAGCCGCGCCCGCCAGACACGGGACCUGCGGAAACCGGCGCUUAAGACGCCCAGCCACACGGCCUCUCAGCUGGCAGCAGAAGCUGGCAAUCCCUCGGGGGGGUGCCCUUCAAUGAGAUGCCAGCGGAGAGUGGGGGCUUUGGUCCCCACCUGGAAAGGCGGUUGGCGCGACGGGUGGAGUGGCUCGGGUGGCCGCGCCAAGGAAAGGAUCCUGGCUUUUUCUUUCCCCGCUGGGGGAGGGAUAAGGGGAGAACGUGUCCAAGCGGCCAGCAAUACCAGAAUUUGGGAAGAACCGGGUUCAACGCCGAAUUGAGAGAGACCGUCUGAUCGCGGGAGCUGCACCAGCCCGGUGUAGGGGGCCGAGCCUGCGCCAACAAAAGCGCGACAGGGGUGACGGCCGGGCUCAAGGUUGGCCUGUCCUUUGGUUUUAAAACAAAGACGGAGAAUUUUGUCAGUCGGGAGGCGUCCAGGGAGCGGAGGCCGGAGCCAGCGGCCUAGGAACACAGGGAAGGCCUCGGCUCCGGUGGCCCAGGCUGGCCGCGGAGAAGCACGCUGGGCCGGGCCUCGGCUAGCCAGGGCAGCUUCUCCCGCAGCUGCGGCUUAGGGCUACAAGGAAGACCCCCCCAGCCCCCAGCCGAUUUUCUACCCAGUCAAACACACACACACACAGACACGCGCGCGCGCGCGCGCACACACACACACACACACACACACACGCACUUUCACUCAAUUGCGUCCACAGUUUUUGGCCACCUAUCCCGCUGGGUAAACAAAAGUAUGAGGGGGUGGGGAGGGGGAGGGGAUGGAAUGGGGGUGGGGCGCGGAAGAUGGCGGCUGGACCUGGUGGCCUAUGGCCUGUGCCCUAUGGCCACAGCGCCCAGGCCUGGUUUUUACAUUUCAAUGUGGCCCGCCAUACUGGGGAGGGCGUUUCCCUGGACCCUGAAGCCUAGUUAGGGAUGUCCUAGAGGCUCCCCUUUACGAAUGGGGGCACCCGGGCUGCAGCCACUACUACUUCGCUUGGGAUCGGUCCUCCGCCCCAAGAUGGCUCCCAGUCGCUGUUUACUCAGCGACUGCAGGGACACCAGGGCGCGGGGCCGGGGAGCGGGCGAAGAUCACGGAGCGUACAGAUUGGCCCGGGCAGGUGGCCUCUCCGCGUGGCCCGCCCGCGCCCCCAAGCACGCGGCAGCCCUGGAAAACCGCGUGGGCAGGAUGCGUCCUGGCCGCCCCGCCUGGUGGCCAGGAACUGGGAGCCACCACCACCACCGCGUCCCCAGGCCCUGCUCCCCGGCCGGACUCCGGUGGCUGCAGGGCCGCGCAAAUAUGGAGUGGGUGCCGGGGGCAGGUAUGGAAGGGCCGGUGCAAGGGGGCUGGGCGCACAAAGCCCAGGCGGGGAGGGGACCUCCUCUGCCCCGAACCGCGGCCCUAAUGAAAUACCGGCUGGGUUCGUCACACCGCCGAGGCGCACACUUGAAAAAUGCAAACGCCAUUGGCAAAUCCAGGGCAAACAGGCAGAAUUUUUAUUAGCAACUAAAUGAUUUAUGGCACACGUACCCCGCCGUCACAAUUACGGCGUCUCGGAGCAUCCAGGGGGUGAAAACAUUAAACAUUUAUAAAAAUA